Molecule: long non-coding RNA, 1271 nt
Organism: Equus caballus (horse)
Lineage: Eukaryota; Metazoa; Chordata; Mammalia; Perissodactyla; Equidae
Source: RefSeq, a predicted model, not a curated record
GCUCGGUUCAGAACAGGCCGGGCUGGUCGAGUGGGUUGUGUGGGGCAAGAAUCAGGAAGAAGGAGGUUGCUCUUCGUAAUCCGGCUUGUUUAUCCAACAAACAACAAAACAGGGCAGGAUUGUUCCGAGAUGCCGGAAGGCGGCCUUGAGAAAGCCCGCACUGGACAGAGAGGUCUGCUCAAGAAUGCACAGGGCCUGGGAAAGGCAGAGAGGGCUGGAAGCUGGUGUGAGAACGCAGGGAAGGGCCCGUGCUGCGGCGCUGGCUCCAGAGCGUCGAUUGUGGGCAUUUCUUCCCAGCUCUGUGGUCCAUGAGGUCACUACUCCAGGGCCCCUGCUGUCCACGUCCAUCCUCGUGUUCAUACCAACUCGUAUGUUUGCCACAUGCGUGUGACACGUGUGUGACGCGUGUGCCACUGUACAGGACCCGGAGCGCUAUUUCCAGAGGAAAACCGGUGACUUUUAACUAGAAGCCGACUUUCGACAGCAGGAGCGUGCCAUGUGCACGCGAAGAGCAGGUCCAGCUGAACAUGGUCUUCCCAGGUGAUGACAAGCAAAAGGGUGCAGUCACUCGGGAAGCCGGCCGGCCACUGUCCACUGUCACAGCAGCCAGGCAAGUGUGGUACUCAGAGCCCCGCAUGCAAACCUCGGGAUACGACGCAGGAUUUUUAAAGGCUGGAUCUGAAAGCCACUAGAUCAUGGGAUUCUAAAAACGUCUGUUCUAAAUUGUCAGCACAAUGCUCAAGGCCAACUGCUCCGUGCCAGGAAAGGGAUCCCCGGAGCACAUGGGCAGGUGCCAGAAGGGCUGAUGAAAUGCUGCAGUUUCGGGCAGUGCUUCCAGGAAACCAGUCCCAUGAGAUUGCUCCCUGUAGCGAGAUGGGCGAUGCCUGCACAAGGCCUGGGGACACUGUCCACAUCCACUGAGGAUGUGACUGGGUCCCUGGAGUGGGAAACAGCAGACCUGCCCAUCGCUGAGACCGUGUCAAACUAAGGCCCAGAGCUCUGGCCUCGUCCUUUUAGGGACAGAGAGUUGUGACUUGGUCUGGGAAGAGAAGCAGGUGGCAAGGUGGGGAGUGACAUCCCUCCCUAGAGAGGGGAAGCCCCACCCCUCCAGCCUCUGGUCCAACAGGCAGCAGUACCAGUCCUCUGAGCCGGCUGCCUCUUCUCACAUCUCUCUCCAGAGUGCGCUUGCCAGCGAAUAAAGGUUUAGAGUAAUCAGGCCCCAAAUAUGGCUUGUGAUUGAUUUACACUAAAAAAUUAUUGUCUGAAAUUCA